CCUACGGGAGGCAGCAGUAGGGAAUCUUCCACAAUGGGCGAAAGCCUGAUGGAGCAACGCCGCGUGGGUGAAGAAGGUCUUCGGAUCGUAAAACCCUGUUGUUAGAGAAGAAAGUGCGUGAGAGUAACUGUUCACGUUUCGACGGUAUCUAACCAGAAAGCCACGGCUAACUACGUGCCAGCAGCCGCGGUAAUACGUAGGUGGCAAGCGUUAUCCGGAUUUAUUGGGCGUAAAGGGAACGCAGGCGGUCUUUUAAGUCUGAUGUGAAAGCCUUCGGCUUAACCGGGGGAGGGCAUUGGAAACUGGGAGACUUGAGUGCAGAAGAGGAGAGUGGAACUCCAUGUGUAGCGGUGAAAUGCGUAGAUAUAUGGAAGAACACCAGUGGCGAAAGCGGCUCUCUGGGCUGUAACUGACGCUGAGGUUCGAAAGCGUGGGGAGCAAACAGGAUUAGAUACCCGGGUAGUC
This 465-nucleotide ribosomal RNA is filed under the name uncultured bacterium. RNAcentral's name for it is "partial 16S ribosomal RNA". It matches the Rfam family "Bacterial small subunit ribosomal RNA", at positions 338 to 795 of the family's 1533-position model. The record is from RNAcentral.